AAGCGUCCCCGACAGCCGCCAUCCCCCUUCCUUCCUCCUCCUCCACGCUUCUCCCCCUACCCCGUCUAUUCCCCUCUCGCUAUCGCCCUCGCUCUUUCUCCUUCUCAUGCACCACCCCCCACAAAGCCUUCCUGACAGCCCCCUCACUCUCUCUCCUCCUCCUUGUCUUCCUUCCCCAUGCUUCUCACCCUGAACAGCCCUCUGCUGCAAUCAGACCGCGGCUGAAAUCCUCACCCCCUUCUCUGCUUCUCCUCAACAAAUCUGCCGAGCUCGCUUUUCUCCAAUAUUUCUCUCUCUCCCCGACAGCCUCAUAUGAUCUCACUUGAAUUUAAUAGUAACUUUAUGUAGUAGUAAUAGUUUUUUUUUUGUUAAUAAUAGUUUUCUCCAAUAUUUCUCUCUCUCCCCGACAGCCUCAUAUGAUCUCACUUCGAUAAGGCGUCGCUUGGGCACUCGCCCGAGCCUAGGCGUCGGGCGAGUGCGCGGUUGAUAUAAGGUAACCGGGUUCGGUUAAGUGUGCAUUAAUUGGUUUGAUUGAACCAACUAACGCACAUAGUUACCUCAAAACCUGCUCGCGACCCUGACUCCUAACCCUAGCAUGCGCUUUCUCCCUCCACCUUUGUCGUCGACGAUUUCUCCCUCUGCGUCCGCCACCCACGAUUUCUCUCUCUGCCUCCAUCACCGAUGAUUUCUCUUGCUGCCUCUGAGUCUUCAUCUGUCGCAGACUGAGUCUGCUUAGCUUCCACUACUGUCCGCUGUCUGUCGUUAUUGUCCGCUACCGUCGCUGCCAUCCGCUGCCACGGCUGUUGUCCAUUGUUUCUCUUCUGAGUUCUGACUUCUCACUAUCGGUUUCACUAGACCCUUAAGGAAACCUCAAGAUCUGUGGAAAAAAUGGAGACAAUGGUGAGGAAGCUUCAACAGAAGUACAAAAAGGCAAGGGAGGAUAUGGAAAAGUGGGAUGAGCUCCAAUCCCGAUUGCUCUCACUCUUCAAGAGUGCCACAUCCAUCAUCAAUAGACUGCAGGUGCUUGCAGAGGCUAAAAAUUAUGGUGUGUUGAGGAGCAUAUCUGGCAUUAGAGAAGCACUUUUGGGGAAGCAAAUGGAAACCCUGGAAAUGAUCUUUCGUUCCAUGAGAGAGACAAUGAAAGAGUUUCGUGGCAUUGUCUUGUCUCUUGAGAAGAUUGCAAGGGAUGCAUGGCAACUGGUGAAAGGAGGAUCAGCCCAAACUUCUAAGCAGAUGAAAGUGCAGAUUGGACUCUGGCCAAAUAUUACAUAUUGCUUAGGUGGGCUUAGGUCAAUUUAUGAGAUGCACCAAUCUGAGUAUAUUCUUAAAUUAUCAGUGGUAUCCUCCUUGACAUGGAAGUGUAGAUAUGGAUGAUUACCAUGCUCAGCAUAUUAGCAAUUUGAACUGCAUUCAUUAUGGAGAUCAAACCAGUGUGAAAUUGAAAUGGUGGAAGGAGCAACGAUCAUAUAGGGGUUAGAACUCCCAUGAUCAUGAAGUACCUGGCAUGCUUGUUUUAUUUGAAAGUCCCACUGAUGCUGCUGCAUUUGGUCAGCUUUUGGUGGAUCAGCCCAAUAUCCCAAAAGAUGAAGUGCAAGCUAUCUAUGACAUAAUAUUUGCAGAGGAGAUCUGCUGAUUCCUCCUGUUUUCUGCCAUCCCUGCACAUUUUUAUCGCCAGGCAGCUAUGAUUGCAUUUGGAGAUGGACUAAAUGCGUGCUUAUGCUCAAACUGUGAGGGCGAAACUGACUGCAAUGUUCUUCUGUUCUGUGUUGAUGCUUUGAAUUUGAGACGUCUUUACAUAUAUAUCAUGUUAUAUAGCAGGAAGAAUGUCCUCGAAAUCUCAAACUCGUUUGUGUCAAAAAAACUGCAUCAAGUUACACUCGUCUUUUUCAAGUUUAUUUGAUUGAUGAAACCUAAUUCUUAGA
Musa acuminata AAA Group (dessert banana) is the source of this 1922-nucleotide RNA transcript. RefSeq lists it as uncharacterized. NCBI's taxonomy places the organism in Eukaryota, Viridiplantae, Streptophyta, Magnoliopsida, Zingiberales, Musaceae. The transcript has 9 exons. The record is from RefSeq and is a predicted model, not a curated record.